UCGUGAACAUUGUAAACAAUUACAGAUAAAAGACUAACUUGGGCUAAUGAUAAACAGAAAUACUGGUAAACGAGAGCAUUUAAAAUUUCCUUUUUUUAAACAAGGAGUUAGUUCUCUAAUAUGUGGUUCUGCACUAGAAAUGGCAGAAGUUGUUUUUUCUCCGCUCGCCUCGUCUCUCUGCUCCAUGGUCCGGGCUAACGUUAGCUUAGCAUUAGAAGCUAAGACAGGUUUACGCAGCCUUUUUGACGGGUUGUGUAAAACAUUUUUGAAGACAGUCACUUCUAUUAUCUGAUAUUAAUCGGUUCAGAUAAAUAAUACUGUAUGUAGUAAUGACAUAGAAGAGUUGUAGUUCCUCCUUUUACAUUUGCCCUUUAGAUUAUCAGUGUUCAGACUGUCAGUAUCAUAAAUUCAUGUUCGCUAGUAAGUGAUCUGUUGACUCCAUUCUUUGCAUCGUUUUACCAUAAAGUAAAAUGUAUAUGUGGAAUGAACAAGCCUGUCGUCCUUUGUGUUUGGGUGUCCUCUCUGCUCCAAAUUCCUCUCUGCAGGUUAGGAAUCCAGAGACAACUUAGAAACCACACAGCCAAUGCAAUGCAUUUCCAGGAAUCAUGGAGGCUGUUGAGAAAGGAGAGUUUCUGGCUGUGUUUUCCAGAGAUCAGAUCAAGAUCUUCCACCAUGAUUUGAUCAACAUAAGGAUCUGCGACCGAAUGUUCCUGAGGCAGAUUAAAGCUGAAGAUGCAGAAUUUUAGUAACCAGCAGUGAGGGUGAUGGAAGAGGUCACAGUAUAGGAUCAAGAAUGAUAAGAGAGGAGAGGAGACCACUUGAUUGAGUCUUUAAAGUGAUAUUCCUAUAGAUCUUGAUGAAAGUCCUGAAAGAUGAAGGAGUUACCCAGUUUCAGGCUGAGGCCACAAAGGCCAGAAGAAGCCGGAUUUUAGUCCAGCCUGGAGGAUGGAGAAAUGACCCGGCCAGUGGCAGCCUGUUUCAAGUCCAACGCCACAUGUUGUUGUUUCAUUGUCUCUGUUUUUCCCCAUUGUUUUAUAUUGAGUUUCAGUUGAUCCUCCUUCUUGUAUUUGCUUUCCCCCUUUUUUUCUUUUCCUUGUUCUAUUUUGGAAGAGUUGGAGAUGGAACAUAAUAAAAAAGUUUAUCAUAAAAAAGCA
Long non-coding RNA from Melanotaenia boesemani (Boeseman's rainbowfish), 1154 nucleotides. RefSeq lists it as uncharacterized. The transcript has 5 exons. The record is from RefSeq and is a predicted model, not a curated record. Lineage: Eukaryota; Metazoa; Chordata; Actinopteri; Atheriniformes; Melanotaeniidae.